This 253-nucleotide ribosomal RNA is filed under the name uncultured bacterium. RNAcentral's name for it is "partial 16S ribosomal RNA". It matches the Rfam family "Bacterial small subunit ribosomal RNA", at positions 524 to 776 of the family's 1533-position model. The record is from RNAcentral.
UACGGGGGGGGCAAGCGUUGUUCGGAAUUACUGGGCGUAAAGGGCUCGUAGGCGGCCAACUAAGUCAGACGUGAAAUCCCCAGGCUUAACCUGGGAACUGCGUCUGAUACUGGAUGGCUUGAAUUCGGGAGAGGGAUGCAGAAUUCCAGGUGUAGCGGUGAAAUGCGUAGAUAUCGGAAGGAACACCUGUGGCGAAAGCGGCUCACUGGACCAUUACUGACGCUGAUGCACGAAAGCUAGGGGAGCAAACAGG